CAGUCGCCGCGGUAAUACGUAGGUGGCAAGCGUUGUCCGGAAUUAUUGGGCGUAAAGGGCUCGCAGGCGGUUUCUUAAGUCUGAUGUGAAAGCCCCCGGCUCAACCGGGGAGGGUCAUUGGAAACUGGGAGACUUGAGUGCAGAAGAGGAGAGUGGAAUUCCACGUGUAGCGGUGAAAUGCGUAGAGAUGUGGAGGAACGCCAGUGGCGAAGGCGACUCUCUGGUCUGUAACUGACGCUGAGGAGCGAAAGCGUGGAGAGCGAACAGGAUUAGAUACCCGCGUAGUCCCUGUCUCUUAUAC
This 301-nucleotide ribosomal RNA is filed under the name uncultured bacterium. Its description in RNAcentral is "partial 16S ribosomal RNA". It matches the Rfam family "Bacterial small subunit ribosomal RNA", at positions 509 to 807 of the family's 1533-position model. The record is from RNAcentral.